Molecule: ribosomal RNA, 1202 nt
Filed under: Ammodytes hexapterus (Pacific sand lance)
Lineage: Eukaryota; Metazoa; Chordata; Actinopteri; Uranoscopiformes; Ammodytidae
Description: partial 16S ribosomal RNA
Rfam family: Bacterial large subunit ribosomal RNA
Source: RNAcentral
GCAGAGAUUUAAACUCGUACCUUUUGCAUCAUGAUUUAGCUAGAAAGCCUCGAGCGAAGAGAACUUUAGUUUGCUUUCCCGAAACUAAGUGAGCUACUCCAAGACAGCCUAUCAAUAGGGCCAACCCGUCUCUGUGGCAAAAGAGUGGGAAGAGCUUUGAGUAGAGGUGACAGACCUACCGAACUUAGUUAUAGCUGGUUGCCUGAGAAAUGAAUAGAAGUUCAGCCUCCCGGCUUCUUUCCAAACCGAGAGAGUUAUUCAAAGGGGGUACAGCCCCUUUGAAAUAAGAUACAACUUUAUCAGGAGGAUUAAGAUCAUAUUAAAAUAAAGGCAAAAUGUUCUGGUGGGCCUAAAAGCAGCCAUCCUUACAGAAAGCGUUAAAGCUCAGAUAUACUAUCCUGAUAACCAAAUCUUACUCCCCUAACCCUACCGGGCCGCCCCAUGCAAACAUGGGAGCGACCAUGCUAAUAUGAGUAAUAAGAGAGGCCUCUCUCCUUGCACGAGUGUAAAUCAAAACGGACCUCCCAUCGAAUCUUAACGGCCCCAACCAAAGAGGGACAUGGACAACAACCAGAAGACCAUCCACCGUUAACCCCACACUGGUGUGCCCCCAAGGAAAGACUAAAAGAAAAAGAAGGAACUCGGCAAACAAGCCUCGCCUGUUUACCAAAAACAUCGCCUCUUGCAUGAAUAAGAGGUCCCGCCUGCCCUGUGACUCUAAGUUUAACGGCCGCGGUAUUUUGACCGUGCGAAGGUAGCGCAAUCACUUGUCUUUUAAAUGGAGACCUGUAUGAAUGGCAUAACGAGGGCUUAGCUGUCUCCUUUCUCUAGUCAAUGAAAUUGAUCUCCCCGUGCAGAAGCGGGGAUAGAACCAUAAGACGAGAAGACCCUAUGGAGCUUUAGACGCCAAGACAGACCAUGUUAAACACCUCCCCAUAAGGAGCCCAAACCAAAUGGUCCCUGCCCUAGUGUCUUUGGUUGGGGCGACCGCGGGGAAACAUAAAACCCCCAUGUGGAAUGGGAGCACUCCUACAACUAAGAGCUACAGCUCUAAUGAACAGAAUUUCUGACCAACAAGAUCCGGCAAUGCCGAUCAACGGACCGAGUUACCCUAGGGAUAACAGCGCAAUCCCCUUUUAGAGCCCAUAUCGACAAGGGGGUUUACGACCUCGAUGUUGGAUCAGGACAUCCUAAUGGUGCAG